Molecule: ribosomal RNA, 382 nt
Filed under: Salmonella enterica
Lineage: Bacteria; Pseudomonadati; Pseudomonadota; Gammaproteobacteria; Enterobacterales; Enterobacteriaceae
Description: bacterial SSU rRNA
Rfam family: Bacterial small subunit ribosomal RNA
Source: RNAcentral
AAAUUGAAGAGUUUGAUCAUGGCUCAGAUUGAACGCUGGCGGCAGGCCUAACACAUGCAAGUCGAACGGUAACAGGAAGCAGCUUGCUGCUUCGCUGACGAGUGGCGGACGGGUGAGUAAUGUCUGGGAAACUGCCUGAUGGAGGGGGAUAACUACUGGAAACGGUGGCUAAUACCGCAUAACGUCGCAAGACCAAAGAGGGGGACCUUCGGGCCUCUUGCCAUCAGAUGUGCCCAGAUGGGAUUAGCUGGUUGGUGAGGUAACGGCUCACCAAGGCGACGAUCCCUAGCUGGUCUGAGAGGAUGACCAGCCACACUGGAACUGAGACACGGUCCAGACUCCUACGGGAGGCAGCAGUGGGGAAUAUUGCACAAUGGGCGCA